This 254-nucleotide long non-coding RNA is filed under the name Elaeis guineensis (African oil palm). RNAcentral describes it as "long non-coding RNA (EGUI_LNC024733)". Lineage: Eukaryota; Viridiplantae; Streptophyta; Magnoliopsida; Arecales; Arecaceae. The record is from RNAcentral.
AUAAAAGUAAAGUAAAAAUUGGAGAAUAUAAGGCUCUGAGGCAGGCGAUCCAUGCACACCUUGAGGAUCGGUCUAGCUGAUACCGACAUUAAAUAAUAUCUGCACCGAUAGGAGCUCUUUCAGUGUCGAAAUCUUAAAGCUGUGCGAGGUUUCUGCCUCCUGUCUCAGGCAUUGAUCUAAUGAGGGCUCCUUCAACAUGGUCUCUUGAGGUUCACCUUAGGCGAUGAGCCCCCAAUCCUCGUCUGACGUCUGAG